AUCCAGCUGGUGAGUCCGAAAUAGAGCGAAAUGUGCGUCCUGUAU
Molecule: non-coding RNA, 45 nt
Organism: Schistosoma curassoni
Lineage: Eukaryota; Metazoa; Platyhelminthes; Trematoda; Strigeidida; Schistosomatidae
Source: Rfam